RNAcentral lists this long non-coding RNA (330 nucleotides) under Manacus vitellinus (golden-collared manakin). RNAcentral describes it as "lncRNA (ENSMVIG00005003210.1)". The record is from RNAcentral. Lineage: Eukaryota; Metazoa; Chordata; Aves; Passeriformes; Pipridae.
GGGAUUUCCGAGAAACUGGUGUACACCCGAGAACUGAGGUGCCAGGGGAUAAAGGGCAGGGGUAGGUCCUGCAGGAGUGGGGUAGGGCAGGAGGAAUAUAAGCGUCAGGAGCCCCGCGGUGCUCCCUGCGGAGCCGCUUCGUCCCGACCUUCUUCCAGAGUGAACCCUGAGUAAAGGACCUGGGAGAGAAGAAGCAUGGCAGGCAUUGGAACAGUUGCUGCUGCGGUUGGUGUGAAGCUGGUUGAGAAACUCAUAGACGAGGCAUUCGAGCAAGGAAGUGAGUGCUGAUCCCAUUCCUCCUGUCUGUGCUCAUCCUUGGGAACCUCUGGG